CAGCCGCCGCGGUAAUACGUAGGGUGCAAGCGUUAAUCGGAAUUACUGGGCGUAAAGCGUGCGCAGGCGGUUUCGUAAGACAGACGUGAAAUCCCCGGGCUUAACCUGGGAACUGCAUUUGUGACUGCGAGGCUAGAGUGUGUCAGAGGGGGGUGGAAUUCCACGUGUAGCAGUGAAAUGCGUAGAUAUGUGGAGGAACACCGAUGGCGAAGGCAGCCCCCUGGGAUAACACUGACGCUCAUGCACGAAUGCGUGGGGAGCUAACAGGAUUAGAUACCCCUGUAGUCCCUGUCUCUUAUAU
RNAcentral lists this ribosomal RNA (301 nucleotides) under uncultured bacterium. RNAcentral's name for it is "partial 16S ribosomal RNA". It matches the Rfam family "Bacterial small subunit ribosomal RNA", at positions 509 to 809 of the family's 1533-position model. The record is from RNAcentral.